RNAcentral lists this ribosomal RNA (886 nucleotides) under Microbacterium oleivorans. RNAcentral describes it as "bacterial SSU rRNA". It matches the Rfam family "Bacterial small subunit ribosomal RNA", at positions 109 to 1000 of the family's 1533-position model. The record is from RNAcentral. Lineage: Bacteria; Bacillati; Actinomycetota; Actinomycetes; Micrococcales; Microbacteriaceae.
AGUAACACGUGAGCAACCUGCCCCUGACUCUGGGAUAAGCGCUGGAAACGGCGUCUAAUACCGGAUAUGAGCUGCGAUCGCAUGGUCAGCAGUUGGAAAGAUUUUUCGGUCUGGGAUGGGCUCACGGCCUAUCAGCUUGUUGGUGAGGUAAUGGCUCACCAAGGCGUCGACGGGUAGCCGGCCUGAGAGGGUGACCGGCCACACUGGGACUGAGACACGGCCCAGACUCCUACGGGAGGCAGCAGUGGGGAAUAUUGCACAAUGGGCGAAAGCCUGAUGCAGCAACGCCGCGUGAGGGAUGACGGCCUUCGGGUUGUAAACCUCUUUUAGCAGGGAAGAAGCGAAAGUGACGGUACCUGCAGAAAAAGCGCCGGCUAACUACGUGCCAGCAGCCGCGGUAAUACGUAGGGCGCAAGCGUUAUCCGGAAUUAUUGGGCGUAAAGAGCUCGUAGGCGGUUUGUCGCGUCUGCUGUGAAAUCCCGAGGCUCAACCUCGGGUCUGCAGUGGGUACGGGCAGACUAGAGUGCGGUAGGGGAGAUUGGAAUUCCUGGUGUAGCGGUGGAAUGCGCAGAUAUCAGGAGGAACACCGAUGGCGAAGGCAGAUCUCUGGGCCGUUACUGACGCUGAGGAGCGAAAGGGUGGGGAGCAAACAGGCUUAGAUACCCUGGUAGUCCACCCCGUAAACGUUGGGAACUAGUUGUGGGGUCCAUUCCACGGAUUCCGUGACGCAGCUAACGCAUUAAGUUCCCCGCCUGGGGAGUACGGCCCGCAAGGCUAAAACUCAAAGGAAUUGACGGGGACCCGCACAAGCGGCGGGAGCAUGCGGAUUAAAUUCGAUGCAACCGCGAAGAACCUUACCCAAGGCUUUGACAUAUACGAGAACGGG